RNAcentral lists this ribosomal RNA (434 nucleotides) under uncultured bacterium. Its description in RNAcentral is "partial 16S ribosomal RNA". It matches the Rfam family "Bacterial small subunit ribosomal RNA", at positions 29 to 507 of the family's 1533-position model. The record is from RNAcentral.
AGCGAACGCUGGCGGCAGGCCUAACACAUGCAAGUCGAACGAACCUUUCGGGGUUAGUGGCGGACGGGUGAGUAACACGUGGGAACGUGCCUUUAGGUUCGGAAUAACUCAGGGAAACUUGUGCUAAUACCGAAUGUGCCCUUCGGGGGAAAGAUUAAUCGCCUUUAGAGCGGCCCGCGUCGGAUUAGCUAGUUGGUUGAGGUAAUGGCUCACCAAGGCGACGAUCAGUAGCUGGUCUGAGAGGAUGAUCAGCCACAUUGGGACUGAGACACGGCCCAAACUCCUACGGGAGGCAGCAGUGGGGAAUCUUGCGCAAUGGGCGAAAGCCUGACGCAGCCAUGCCGCGUGAAUGAUGAAGGUCUGAGGAUUGUAAAAUUCUUUCACCGGGGACGAUAAUGACGGUACCCGAAGAAGAAGCCCCGGCUAACUUCGUG